ACCCGCUGAAUUUAAGCAUAUAAGUACGCAGAGGAUAUGAAAGCAAACAUGACCCCCUCAGUAAUGGCGAAUGAACAGGGAGCAGCUCAACAUGGAAAUCAGGGCUUGCCAACCUGACUUGUAAUCACGAGGGGUAACACCAAUGGAGGCGUAGGUGUAAGCCUGGUGGAAAACAGCACCAGUGAAGGUGAGAGUCCUGUGCGUCGCCUGCAGCCCUCUGUGUACGGUGUGCCUACGAAGAGUCACGCUCCUCGGAACUGGAGUGGGAAGCAGGUGGUAACCUUUACUUCAAGCUAAACACUAGCUCAAGACCGAUAGCAAACAAGUACCAUGAGGGACAAGUGAAAAGAACUUUGAGAAGAGAGUUAAACAGUGUUUGAAAUUGCUGAAGUGGAAGCGAGGGUGGCCUGUGUUCCAUUGUGAGAUUGCUGCGUGCCACCCGUCUUGAAACACGGACCAAGGAGUCUAACACCUGUGCGAGCUCAUGGGCAGCUGAAGCCUGUGUGCGCAAUGAAAAUGGCUGCUGGGCUUUGUGCACCAGCAACCAACCAUUUGCUUGAGAAAGGUUUGAGUAUGAGUAUGUCUGUUAGGACCCGAAAGAUGGUGAACUAUGCUUGUGAAGGGUAAGCUCAGGGGAAACUCUGAUGGAGGCUCACAGCGAUACUGACGUGCAAAUCGUUCGUCAUACAUGGGCAUAGGGGCGAAAGACUAAUCGAGCCGUCUAGUAGCUGGUUCCC
This 737-nucleotide ribosomal RNA is filed under the name Qia lebouriae. Its description in RNAcentral is "eukaryotic LSU rRNA". It matches the Rfam family "Eukaryotic large subunit ribosomal RNA", at positions 23 to 959 of the family's 3401-position model. Lineage: Eukaryota; Dinophyceae; Peridiniales; Diplopsaliaceae. The record is from RNAcentral.